GUAGGGAAUAUUGGGCAAUGGAUGCAAGUCUGACCCAGCCAUGCCGCGUGGAGGAAGAAGGUCCUCUGGAUUGUAAACUCCUUUUUUGGGGGAAGAAUAGUUCUCUUGCGAGGGAAUGUGACGGUACCCUAAGAAUAAGCCACGGCUAACUACGUGCCAGCAGCCGCGGUAAUACGUAGGUGGCAAGCGUUGUCCGGAUUUAUUGGGUUUAAAGGGUGCGUAGGUGGUUUGAUAAGUCAGUGGUGAAAGCUGGUUGCUCAACAAUCAAGUUGCCAUUGAUACUGUCGGACUUGAGAGAAGUGGAGGUUCAUGGAAUGGAUGGUGUAGCGGUGAAAUGCAUAGAUAUCAUCCAGAACGUCGAUUGCGAAGGCAGUGGGCUGUACCUUAAUCGACGCUGAUGCACGAAAGCAUGGGGAGCAAACAGGAUUAGAAACCCUGGUAGUCC
This 445-nucleotide ribosomal RNA is filed under the name uncultured bacterium. RNAcentral's name for it is "partial 16S ribosomal RNA". It matches the Rfam family "Bacterial small subunit ribosomal RNA", at positions 354 to 796 of the family's 1533-position model. The record is from RNAcentral.